Molecule: ribosomal RNA, 638 nt
Filed under: uncultured eukaryote
Lineage: Eukaryota
Description: SSU rRNA
Rfam family: Eukaryotic small subunit ribosomal RNA
Source: RNAcentral
GUACGUAAGUUGUUGCAGUUAAAAAGCUCGUAGUUGGAUCUCAGGCUUGUGGCCGGUGGUCCGCUCGAUACGGGUGUGCACUGCCGUGUCCGGCCUACGUCUGGUCUAACGUCCAUAGUGCCCUUAACCGGGUGCUAUGGAAUGCCAGAAAGUUUACUCUGAAAAAAUUAGAGUGCUCAAAGCAAGCCGUUUGUGCUUGAAUACUGUUGCAUGGAAUAAUGGAAUAGGACCUCGGUUCUAUUUUGUUGGUUUUCGGAGUCGAGGUAAUGAUUAAGAGGGACAGACGGGGGCAUUCGUAUUGCGCCGUUAGAGGUGAAAUUCUUGGAUCGGCGCAAGACGAACAACUGCGAAAGCAUUUGCCAAGGAUGUUUUCAUUAAUCAAGAACGAAAGUCAGAGGUUCGAAGACGAUCAGAUACCGUCGUAGUUCUGACCAUAAACGAUGCCAACUGGCGAUCCGCCGCAGUCUGGCUUAAAGGACUCGGCGGGCAGCCUCCGGGAAACCUAAGUCUAUGGGUUCCGGGGGAAGUAUGGUUGCAAAGCUGAAACUUAAAGGAAUUGACGGAAGGGCACCACCAGGAGUGGAGCCUGCGGCUUAAUUUGACUCAACACGGGAAAACUCACCCGGCCAGGACACCGU